CAUCAAAUAACCUGACCCAGCCAAGAAUUGAUCUGAGCCGUUGAUCAAAUGAGAUCAACGACCCAGAUUUAGUUUCCAUAAUUAAAACCUAAAUAGCCUAACCUCUCCCCUGAUUCUGUAACACUCGGCUCUCUCUAUAACCCCUCAUCUCUGAGUUCUCUCUAGAAUCUUCGAUCCUCUCUCUUCUCCGAUGGCUUUCACUGCCAUUCCGGCCACCUUUACCCUCACUCCUCUCGACCACCACUCACCAUGGUAUCAUAUCUCAUUACUUAUCUCUCAAACUCGAAGCCUAGAUGCUUCUGCCAUGAAAGACGCUGGAUAGAAGCUUGCCUGAGUCUUUGCCAGCUUCUCUCCGGUGGGUUUUAGUUCGAUGGUGCUUUAAACUCCAUUAUUAACAAGUGUCACGCCCAGGUUCUUCACCUCACCGAUUUUAUUUGCAAACCCUAAUUUUUUUAAUCAAAUCUCUUUAUCUCUGCCUUUUAAAAUAAUUUUUAGUUUAAUCUUUGUUUCUACACUAUUUCUCACUCAAUAUCUCUGAUUAAUUCAAAGUUUUCCGAUAAUUUUCUCUUUUUUAAAAACUAGGGUUUCUGACCAAUUUUUCAAAAUCGUUAUAUCUUCUGAUUUUCUUGAGUACUAUGUGGUUGUGUUGUGUUAUGUGUUUGUUUAUGUUACGAGCUUGUUUGUCUUCUUGUUAAUCUGAGUUCCAUGCUCUAAAUUCUUUCUAGGGUUCCGACCCUUUACUGCUUAUAUGAUCUCUUGCAUAAGGUUCUUUGAUUUUUCACGCCUAUUGUGUUUAUAUGUCUAGUUGUUAUUCGAAUGAUUCUGUGCUUCUCUUUGAAUCCCUAAUCUGUAAAAUUUUCUUAAAUGUUCUUACACUGAUUUUUGAAUCAUUUCCUUACUUGUGGGAUGCUCUCUAUACUUGGUACUGAUUCCCUCUGAUUUUGGUCUUGUCCGUGAUUCUUUGAUUAAUUUUUAGAGUUAAUUUAUAUUUCCUUACCAUAUUUGCGCAUGAACAGACUUUCAAAUCUUGAACUACUAUGUAUUUAGCCCUUAUUACAUAUUACAUGCUUUACUAUGGUAGAUACAACAAUCUAAUUGAUUCUUUUCCUUUUAAAAUAGUUGUUUAAUACAGUUUGACUUUGGUUCCUUAAUUGAAGAGUAGUCCAUAUGCUGAUUGGAUUGUGAUUGAUGCCAGUUCCUUAGUUAAAUAUUGUUGCCUUGUUUGUUUACUCAUAUUCAGUACUAUAAGUACCUCCCCCCAUUCUCUUUGAAGACAGUAAUACAUUGUAUAUCUCUCACAAGUUCAAACUCUCUGAACUUUCUCUCUCUCUCUCUCUCUCCCUCUCUCUCUCUCUCUCUCUCUCUCUCUCUCUCUUUCUCUACUGUCUCUAUACUCUCUCACUCUCAUAUUUGAACAUUCAAUCGGCAGAAAUCCAAGAUUGAGUAAACUUGGUUGUCUAAUACACUAAUGGGUUUCUAGUGCAUUAUUUACAUGGGUUUGCGUGCUGCUCUCUUCUUUGCAAUGCUGUUCUCACUUAUUACUCUCAUUCUCUGCACAGUUUGCUCUCCUCUUGUGCAUUAUUGCUCAUCGCUCUUGUGUUCUAUUUGCCUGCAACUGGUAUGUCGUCUACUUAGUGUACAGUUUCCAAAACAACAUGCUUUUGUUAGUUCUGCACUUCAUCUUGUUUCUUGUGUGCUUUUAUCUAUGGUCCUGCUACUCUUCUUGUCACUAGCAUGUGUUUAUUAGUCUACCUAGUUUAAUUUAGCAUGGUCCCCCUACCCAUACCCUGUCUCAAUGAAUGUUUACUUUUUCCAUGUGUGCUAUACCAUGCAUCCAGGUCUGCUUGGCUAUUUGAUUAGCCUGAAACCUCUUCCUGAGGUUGAUUGUAUUAGGGUUUCGUGCAGUAAGAGCUGGACUCUUAUUUUGCAACCAUGUCUGGUUACUUUCUUCCAAUGUGUUGCCUGUGUGAGUAGUUUACUUUUCUUAUUUGUUCCCUUCCCCUUUUUCCCUUGUUUGUGUGAUGCUCUGUUGUUCUAUAACUGGCCAGUCUAAAUGGUUUCAACAGUAUUCUUGCAACUCUUUCAACUGUUUUUCUCAAAUUGUCUCUCAACUGUUUUCAAUUCUCUCAAUUCUAUCACAUUCUUACUACUUUUAGAAUAUUAGGUUCUGCCCCCUUAGUGUAGGCAUUGCUUUGGGAGCCCUUGAGCACCCAAUGAACUUUGAUGCACAAGGCUGGCACUUCCACACUUGCACUUGUCUAAUAAUGA
This 2268-nucleotide long non-coding RNA is filed under the name Nicotiana benthamiana. RNAcentral's name for it is "long non-coding RNA (NBEN_LNC039716)". The record is from RNAcentral. Lineage: Eukaryota; Viridiplantae; Streptophyta; Magnoliopsida; Solanales; Solanaceae.